RNAcentral lists this long non-coding RNA (5531 nucleotides) under Mus musculus (house mouse). RNAcentral describes it as "long non-coding RNA chr9:101116700-101122231". The record is from RNAcentral. Lineage: Eukaryota; Metazoa; Chordata; Mammalia; Rodentia; Muridae.
GCAGUCACUUUGUGGGUAAUGUAUUUUUCUUGCUAAAGAUUUUCAGUUCUUUAUUAUUUUGUGUGAUGAAUUCACACUCAUGGAGGGUUGGCAAGCUAUAUGAUAAGCCAACUCUGUCUUCAUACCUGUUUUCGUACAACCCAUGAGCUAAGAAUACUUUUACCUUUUUUAAUUUCAAAGAAAAAUCACAGGAAUAACUUGUGAUGUGAAACACUAUGUGAUUAUUUCUGAGUUUAUUUUUAAAGUUCUAUUGGAAUUUGCAUGCAUUUGCUUUAUUUUAUCUGCAUCUGCCACAUAAUUGUAACAGGACCUACAAGAUCUGACAUACUUAUAAUCAGGGCUGAGAAAGAAAAAAAUGCUGAUUCUUGCUCAUGUGCAUCCUUUAUUUGCUAAAAUUCUAGAAAUUAUUUCUAUUGUUUUCUAGAGGUGUUUUUAAACCCCAGCAUUUCAAUAAAAACAACAAAUAAUGUUUUCAACCUUGUCCAUUCCAUUCGGUAUCAUGCAGCAGUUUUCAUUAGAAACAUUACUUUCUGGGUGUGUGAGAUGGCUCAGUGGUAAAGGCACCUACUUCCAGGCUUCCCAACCUGAGUUUGAUCUCAGGAUCCUACAAGGUGGCAAGAAUCUAUGUCAAAAAGUUGAUCUUUGAUCUUCAGAUGUGCACCAUAACAUAGGAACCGUUAAAAAACCACCCCUAAAACAAAACAAACAAACAAACAAACAAACAAACAGACAAACAAACAGACAGCCAAUAACAGAAGAACUUCCCCAUUUCUAAGACACUAACUGUAUUUUUAAGGGUACUUUUUUUUUUUUUAAAGAUUUAUUUAUUUAUUAUAUGUAAGUACAUUGUAGCUGUCUUCAGACACUCCAGAAGAGGGCGUCAGAUCUUGUUACAGAUGGUUGUGAGCCACCAUGUGGUUGCUGGGAUUUGAACUUCAGACCUUCGGAAGAGCAGUCGGGUGCUCUUACCCACUGAGCCAUCUCACCAGCCCUUAAGGGUACUUUUUUACAUUCCUCUGAACACUCAUUUUGAUGCCUUGUUCUAUCUCUGUAUUAACUUCUUCCAACAGUGAAUGCCCUCAUACUGUACUUUGUUGGUAUUUCUCAACUGUCUGCUGUGUGUUCAUUUUUCUUUGUUGUUGGGAACAGACUGUUGCCUCUGCCUUGCUGGUUGCCUAGGGAGGGGAAGAGGGUUGGAAAGAUGGCCCAGUCUGACUGUGUGGCUAAGUGUGUGGGUGGCUGCUCUUUCCCUUCCAAGUUCCCAUAGUCUUCACCUUUGCCUUUCUUUUAGGGAUAGGAUGGGAUAGAGAGUUAGACCUAUGUGAAUGCUGCUUCUGGUGUCCUCCUUGUUUCUAGGUUUUAGUCAAAUGAGGUGGGGAUCACUAAGUGCUGCUCUCAUUAUCUGUAACAAUUACCCCUUGUAUUCUGCUACAAAAAGCUGUCUGCUCCUUCCUUCUGGUCCUGUUUGCUCCCCAUCUUUCGCCAUCUUCUAGUGUCUACUUCAAGUGUCUCUUCUUUUAGGUGAUUCUGUUUUUUGUUUUGUUUCUUAAUUGUCAUCUUCCAUUGCCAGGGUCUUGCUAUGUACCAGCUGUCCCCAACACAUGGUUUAGUUGCUUGGUCUCUGGGAUGUUGAGGUCUCAGGCAUGAACCAGCUGUAACUCUUACGUACGUACGUACGUACGUACGUGGUGUGGAAGCUGAAGACUGCAGCAUGCAUCCGGUCCACCUCCUUUUAAUCAGAAGCUAGUCUGUACUGUUAUUUUUUGGAUGUUUUGUAUCCUAAUAUGUAUUCUGCAAAUGCUUUAUGAACAAAACUCACAAUUUUUAUUUUAAAUUAGGAACUUUACAAUGUCUAUAAACAAUAGGAUUCAUUCCCCACCUCUGUUUUUUUGUCUCUGAAGUCUAAUAGUAUCAAGAAAGCUUAUCUUCUUAUUUAAUGUGUAUGAGUACUGUAGCUGCCUUUAGACACACAAGAGGGCAUCGGAUCCCAUUACAGACGGUUGUGAGCCACCAUGUGGUUGCUGGGAAUUGAACUCAGGACCCCUGGAAGAGCAGUCAGUGCUUUUAACCCACUGAGCCAUCUCUCCAGCCCCAAGAAAGCUUUUUAAGGAGUGCUUUUAAAUUAUUAAAAUAAUGUUUUUUGUGGUGGUCAUUAUUCCAUAACUGAACCGUUUUAAUAAGAAACUUUAGCCCUUCUCAUUCAUUGAUCUAAAAACAUCUGCUUUAAUUAUGACUUGAGUCUGUGCUGUGUGUGUAUGUUCUGUGACUGUAUGAAACGAUUUUACGUUUGCCUUUACUAUUCUAGCUGGUUACUUCAACUAACAUUAGCUCUCCUAGUUGCCUUAGUAGAUUUCUAGGAUAUCUGCCAAGAUGUGCUAAUAAAACUUACAUGUGUAUUUUCUGUGCCUUCUUUUAAUUGUUACACAUAAUUUCCCUCUCUUUAUCCUAGUUUUCCUUACAGUCUAUUUUCCAGCAGAUUGUAUUUUAUUUUCUAUCUUUUUAGUACAGUGGUUCUCAACCUACCUAAUGCUGUAAUCCCUUAAUAGAGUUCUUCACGUUGUGGUGACCCCCAACCACAAAAUUCUUUUCAUUGCUACUUUAUGAUUUUAAUUACUACUAUGAAUUGUACUGUAACUUUAAGUGUUUUAAGUGAGUCUUAGGUGAGCCCUGUUCCCCUGUGUGAAAGGGAGCAUUGACCCACAGGUUGAGAACCUCUGUUGUAUUUGGUUAGGCUUACUUUUAUAUUUAAAUUGAUUGAAUUCUUAUUAUUUGUUAUUUUAUGCCACUGCUGUAAGGCAGCUGGAGGCCAGGCUUAUUUAUACCUCCCUCAUCUUGUGACAUGUUUUUAAUUAGUUAAAAAAUUUACCAGGGCCACACAGAAAAUUAAAUUUUGUCUCAAAAUUAAAAAAAAUAUUUUAUUGUUGGGAAUUAUUUUCCCUAUCCUUGGUAUUUUGUUUUUCCAUAGGAAGUUGAGGAUUGCUCUUUCCAUAUCUGUGAAGAACUGUGUUAGAAUUUUGAUGGGGAUUGCAUCGAAUCUGUAGAUUGCUUUUGGUAAGAUGGCUAUUUUUACUAUGUUAAUCCUACUGAUCCAUGAGCAUGGGAGGUCUUUCUAUCUUUUGAGGCCUUCUUCGAUUUCUUUAUUCAGGGACUUGAAGUUCUUGUCAUACAGAUCUUUCACUUGCUUGGUCAGAGUUACACCAAGAUAUUUUAUAUUAUUUAUGGCUAUUGUGAAAGGUGUUGUUUCUCUAAUUUCUUUCUCAGCCCAUUUAUCCUUUGUAUAAAGGCAGGCUGCUGACUUGUUAGUUUUAUACCCAGCCGUUUGGCUGAGGGUGAUUACCAGCUGUAGGAGCUCUGGUGGGAUUUUCUGGGUUGCUUAUAUGCACUACAUAUCAUCUGCAAGUAGUGAUAACCUUGACUUCUUCUUUCCAGUUUUCUUUCUUUGUUGGGUCUUUGUGUGGUUUAGGUAUCAGAGUAAAUGUGGCUUUAUAGAAUGAAUUAAGUAGUGUUCCUUCUGUUUCUGUUGUGUGGAAUAGUUUGAGGAGUAUUGUAUUAGCUUUUCUUUGAAGGUCUAGUAGAAUUUUGCACUAAAACCAUGUGGCCCUGGGCUUUUUUUGUUACGAGGUUUUUAAUGACUGCUUCUAUUUCCUUAUGGGUUAUGGGACUGUUUAGAUAGUUUACCUGCUCUUGAUUUAAUUUUGGUACCUGGUAUCAUCCAUUUCCUCUAGAUUUUCCAUUUUUGUCAAGUAUAGGCUUUUGUAGUAAGAUCUGAUGAUUUUUUGAAUUUCCUCAGUUUCUGUUGUCAUGUCUUCCUUUUCAUUUCUGAUUUUGUUAAUUUGGAUACCGUGUCUGUGCCCUUUAGUUAGUUUGGCUAAGGGUUUUUCUAUCUUGUUGAUUUUCUCAAAGAAUCAGCUCUUUGUUUUGAUGAUUCUUUUUAUCUUUCUAAUUGGUUGGUUUCAGCCCUAAGUUUGACUAUUUCCACUUUUGGGGAAUCACCAUUCCUGAUCUCAAGCUGUACAAUUCAGCAAUAGUGAUAAAAAAAAAAAAAACCUCCAUGUUAUUGAUACACAGACAGAAAGGUCGAUCAGUGGAAUAGAAUUGAAGACUCAGAAGUAAACCCACACAUCUAUGGACACUUGAUCUUUGACAAAGAAACCAAAACCAUACACUGGAAAAAAGAAAGCAUCUUCAGCAAAUGGCACUGAUCUAACAGGCAGUCUGCAUGUGCAAGAAUGCAAAUUGAUUCAUAUUCAUCACCUUCUACAAAGCUCAAGUUCAAGUGGAUCAAGGACCUCCACACAAAACUAGAUACACUGAAUCUAAUAGAAGAGAAAGUGGGAAAUAGCCGCGAAUGCAUUGGCACAAGGGAGAAUUUCCUGAAUAGAUCACCAAAGGCUCAGGCUCUAAUCAACAAUUGACAAAUUGGACCUCAUGAAACUGAAAAACUUCUAUAAGGCAAAGGACACUGUCAAUAGUUCAAAACGGAAACCUACAUAUUGGGAAAAGAUCUUCACUAACCCUACUUCUGAUAGAGGGCUAAUAUCCAAAAUUUAUAAAGCACUCAAGAAGUUAGACUCCCAGUAAACCAAAUAACCGAAUUAACAAAUGGGGUACAAAGCUAAACAGAAUUCUCAGCAGAGGAAUCUUAAGUUGCUGAGAUGCACUUAAAGAAAUGUUCACCAUCCUUAGUCAUCAGGGAAAUGCAAAUCAAAACAACCCUGAGAUUCCACCUCACACGAAUCAGAAUGGCUAAGAUAAAAAACUCAAGCAAGAGCAGAUGCUGGUGAGCAUGUGGAGAAAGGAACACUCCUCCACUGCAGGUGGGACUGCAAACUGGUACAGCCACUCUGGAAAUCAACCUGGCAGUUCCUUAGAAAAUUGGAAAUACUGAAGACCCAGCAAUAUCACUCCUGGGCAUAUACCCAAAAGAUGCUCCACCAUAUCAAAUACUGAAGACCCAGCAAUAUCACUCCUGGGCAUAUACCCAAAAGAUGCUCCACCAUAUCAAAUACUGAAGACCCAGCAAUAUCACUCCUGGGCAUAUACCCAAAAGAUGCUCCACCAUAUCAAAUACUGAAGACCCAGCAAUAUCACUCCUGGGCAUAUACCCAAAAGAUGCUCCACCAUAUCCAAGAACAGGUGCUUCACUAUGUUCGUAGCAGCCUUAUUUGUAUUAUCACUAUGUAUAUGUAUUAUCACUAUCAAUAUGUAUUAUCACUAUGUUAUCACUAUGUAUAUCACUAUGUUCGUAGCAGCCUUAUUUGUAUUAGCCAGAAGCUGGAAAUGACUCAGAUGUUCCUCAACCGAAGAAUGGAUACAGAAAAUGUGGUUCAGUUACACAAUGGAAUUCUGUUCAGCUAUUAAAAAAUAAGGACAUCAUGAAUUUUGCAGGCAAAUGGAUGGAAAUAUAGAAAAUAUUCUGAGCGAGGUAACCCAGACCCAAAAGGACAUGCAUCGUGUGUACUCACUGAUAAAUGGAUAUUAGUCAAAAGUACAGAAUACCCAUGAUACAACUCACAGACCAUAUGAAGUUU